GAGGGAUCAUUACCGAGUUUACAACUCCCAAACCCAAUGUGAACGUUACCAAACUGUUGCCUCGGCGGGGUCACGCCCCGGGUGCGUCGCAGCCCCGGAACCAGGCGCCCGCCGGAGGAACCAACCAAACUCUUUCUGUAGUCCCCUCGCGGACGUAUUUCUUACAGCUCUGAGCAAAAAUUCAAAAUGAAUCAAAACUUUCAACAACGGAUCUCUUGGUUCUGGCAUCGAUGAAGAACGCAGCGAAAUGCGAUAAGUAAUGUGAAUUGCAGAAUUCAGUGAAUCAUCGAAUCUUUGAACGCACAUUGCGCCCGCCAGUAUUCUGGCGGGCAUGCCUGUCCGAGCGUCAUUUCAACCCUCGAACCCCUCCGGGGGAUCGGCGUUGGGGAUCGGGACCCCUCACACGGGUGCCGGCCCCGAAAUACAGUGGCGGUCUCGCCGCAGCCUCUCCUGCGCAGUAGUUUGCACAACUCGCACCGGGAGCGCGGCGCGUCCACGUCCGUAAAACACCCAACUUUCUGAAAUGUUGACCUCGGAUCAGGUAGGAAUACCCGCUGAACUUAAG
RNAcentral lists this ribosomal RNA (565 nucleotides) under Trichoderma asperellum. Its description in RNAcentral is "eukaryotic LSU rRNA". The stretch from base 196 to 349 matches the Rfam family "5.8S ribosomal RNA". Lineage: Eukaryota; Fungi; Ascomycota; Sordariomycetes; Hypocreales; Hypocreaceae. The record is from RNAcentral.